Molecule: ribosomal RNA, 401 nt
Filed under: bacterium
Lineage: Bacteria
Description: partial 16S ribosomal RNA
Rfam family: Bacterial small subunit ribosomal RNA
Source: RNAcentral
UGGGGAAUUUUGCACAAUGGGGGAAACCCUGAUGCAGCGACGCCGCGUGAUUUAGAAGGCCUUCGGGUUGUAAAAAUCUUUUUUACGGGAUGAAAAUGACAGUACCGUAAGAAUAGGUCCGGCUAAAUACGUGCCAGCAGCCGCGGUAAUACGUAUGGACCGAGCGUUGUCCGGAAUCAUUGGGCGUAAAGGGUACGUAGGCGGCCUAGUAAGUUAGAAGUGAAAUAAUAUAGCUCAACUAUAUAAAGCUUUUAAAACUGCUAGGCUUGAGAGAUGGAAGGGAAAGUGGAAUUCCUAGUGUAGCGGUGAAAUGCGCAGAUAUUAGGAAGAAUACCGGUGGCGAAGGCGACUUUCUGGUCAUCAUCUGACGCUGAGGUACGAAAGCGUGGGUAGCAAACAGG